UACGGAAGGCAGCAGUGGGGAAUAUUGCACAAUGGGCGAAAGCCUGAUGCAGCUAUGCCGCGUGUAUGAAGAAGGCCUUAGGGUUGUAAAGUACUUUCAUCGGGGAGGAAAAAACAAAACUAAUAAUUUUAUUUCUUGACGUUACCCGAAAAAGAAGCACCGGCUAACUCCGUGCCAGCAGCCGCGGUAAUACGGAGGGUGCUAGCGUUAAUCAGAAUUACUGGGCGUAAAGAGCACGUAGGUGGUUUUUUUAAGUCAGAUGUGAAAUCCCUGGGCUUAACCUGGAACUGCAUUUUGAAACUGAAAUACUAGAGUAUCGUAGAGGGAGGUAGAAUUCUAGGUGUAGCGGUGAAAUGCGUAGAUAUCUGGAGGAAUACCUGUGGCGAAAAGCGGCCUCCUAAACGAAUACUGACACUGAGGUGCGAAAAGCGUGGGGAGCGAAAACAGGGAUUAAGAUACC
Molecule: ribosomal RNA, 460 nt
Filed under: uncultured bacterium
Lineage: Bacteria
Description: bacterial SSU rRNA
Rfam family: Bacterial small subunit ribosomal RNA
Source: RNAcentral